CAGAAUGAAUCAGAACUCCUUUCAGGAAGUUGGUGCUUAACGGAAGAGUUCUCUCCCCGGGGUGCUUGAAAUUGAUGAUACUAUGCUACUACUAAUAAAAAUAGAUGAGGAUGCUAAAGCCUAGAGGAGAGAAGUGAUUUGCCCAAGAUCACACAGAGAGUUCCUAUCAGAGCUGGGGCUGGAAACCAAGUAUUCGGAUUCCUCAAAUUCCAUGCCUGUCCUUCACACUCUUUGUAGCCCCAGCUACACAGAUAUUCUCAAGUAGAAAAGUUAACUAUUGGGUACUGAGCUUAAUACCUGGGUGACGAAAUAAUCUCUACAACAAACUCCCAUGACACAAGUUUACCCAUGUAACAAAC
RNAcentral lists this long non-coding RNA (359 nucleotides) under Homo sapiens (human). RNAcentral's name for it is "HSALNT0096162". Lineage: Eukaryota; Metazoa; Chordata; Mammalia; Primates; Hominidae. The record is from RNAcentral.